This 253-nucleotide ribosomal RNA is filed under the name uncultured bacterium. Its description in RNAcentral is "partial 16S ribosomal RNA". It matches the Rfam family "Bacterial small subunit ribosomal RNA", at positions 524 to 776 of the family's 1533-position model. The record is from RNAcentral.
UACGAAGGGGGCUAGCGUUGCUCGGAAUCACUGGGCGUAAAGCGCACGUAGGCGGAUCUUUAAGUCAGGGGUGAAAUCCUGGAGCUUAACUCCAGAACUGCCUUUGAUACUGGCGAUCUUGAGUCCGGGAGAGGUGAGUGGAACUGCGAGUGUAGAGGUGAAAUUCGUAGAUAUUCGCAAGAACACCAGUGGCGAAGGCGGCUCACUGGCCCGGUACUGACGCUGAGGUGCGAAAGCGUGGGGAGCAAACAGG